AAGAAGGCCUUCGGGUUGUAAAGCACUUUCAGUCGUGAGGAAGGUUUAUGCGUUAAUAGCGUAUAGAUUUGACGUUAGUGACAGAAGAAGCACCGGCUAACUCCGUGCCAGCAGCCGCGGUAAUACGGAGGGUGCGAGCGUUAAUCGGAAUUACUGGGCGUAAAGCGCAUGCAGGUGGUUUGUUAAGUCAGAUGUGAAAGCCCGGGGCUCAACCUCGGAAUUGCAUUUGAAACUGGCAGACUAGAGUACUGUAGAGGGGGGUAGAAUUUCAGGUGUAGCGGUGAAAUGCGUAGAGAUCUGAAGGAAUACCGGUGGCGAAGGCGGCCCCCUGGACAGAUACUGACACUCAGAUGCGAAAGCGUGGGGAGCAAACAGGAUUAGAUACCCUGGUAGUCCACGCCGUAAACGAUGUCUACUUGGAGGUUGUGGCCUUGAGCCGUGGCUUUCGGAGCUAACGCGUUAAGUAGACCGCCUGGGGAGUACGGUCGCAAGAUUAAAACUCAAAUGAAUUGACGGGGGCCCGCACAAGCGGUGGAGCAUGUGGUUUAAUUCGAUGCAACGCGAAGAACCUUACCUACUCUUGACAUCCAGAGAACUUUCCAGAGAUGGAUUGGUGCCUUCGGGAACUCUGAGACAGGUGCUGCAUGGCUGUCGUCAGCUCGUGUUGUGAAAUGUUGGGUUAAGUCCCGCAACGAGCGCAACCCUUAUCCUUGUUUGCCAGCGAGUAAUGUCGGGAACUCCAGGGAGACUGCCGGUGAUAAACCGGAGGAAGGUGGGGACGACGUCAAGUCAUCAUGGCCCUUACGAGUAGGGCUACACACGUGCUACAAUGGCGCAUACAGAGGGCGGCCAACUUGCGAAAGUGAGCGAAUCCCAAAAAGUGCGUCG
This 888-nucleotide ribosomal RNA is filed under the name Vibrio parahaemolyticus. RNAcentral's name for it is "bacterial SSU rRNA". It matches the Rfam family "Bacterial small subunit ribosomal RNA", at positions 408 to 1288 of the family's 1533-position model. The record is from RNAcentral. Lineage: Bacteria; Pseudomonadati; Pseudomonadota; Gammaproteobacteria; Vibrionales; Vibrionaceae.